This 3218-nucleotide long non-coding RNA is filed under the name Fukomys damarensis (Damara mole-rat). RNAcentral's name for it is "lncRNA (ENSFDAG00000023749.1)". The record is from RNAcentral. Lineage: Eukaryota; Metazoa; Chordata; Mammalia; Rodentia; Bathyergidae.
AUGUCUGGACCGCACAGGGGCUGUGCUCCUAGAGGGGCCGCCCAGCCUCCCACCCGGACGUUCUCCUGGCGCCCGGCUCCAAGCGGAGCGCAAGUUUGCGGACACUACCGGGGAUCUGGAGGGCUCUCGACCUCUGCGGAGAACUGCAGUGAGCUUUCAGGGAGUGCGAGGCACCCUGAGAGGCCAACCGGUCCCCGGCUGUUCCCCAGCGAGGUUGGCACAGCUGCAAGGAAAUGCCGCAGCCACACGCUAAACGAGUCACACGGAAACGAGCCAUCCGGGCUGUCGGAUCAGCUUUUAGGGAAGAAAAUCAAGAACAUAAAAAAAUCUGACAGUGCAGAGAAAAGAUGCACACACACGUGGAAUGAUGAAGACUAAUUGAAGAAAAUCAGAAGAAUGAACUCAUUUCCUGCUCCCAUAUGAGCAUUCACAACCAUACAGAAAGGAGAGGAAUGGCAGGAAGAGGCUCCAGCAAAAACAGCUCAGAAGCCAGGAACAAGCUCCCUUCUUCAUAGAUGGGGAGCAACAGCCACUCUGUCACCGUAGUCCUCAUCCAGGUGGGGUGGGAGAAAAGAUGAAUGGAAAUGUGCAGGCUAAUGAAACAAUUGCAUGGUGGAAGGAAUGCUUGCCCUUUUUAUCAAUGGGCUUGCACUGGGCCAGCCUAGCAGCUAUCUCCUCGCUCCACUGGUAUUGCUGCACCUCCCUGUUGUUCUUCACCUUUUCAUUGAUCUCUUAUUUAUUACGUGUCCAUGUGCCUUCCCUCUCUUUCCCUCCCUCACCUGAUCAGAGUCCCCACCUCUUCUCUAAAGCCUGUCCCAACUCAUCCUUGUCCUUGGCAUUCUGCUGGUGGUUUCAUUUUCUGCUCUAAUUUGUGUGUGUGUGUGUGUGCAGGAGCUUUGCCUUUACAUUUUUUACACCUUCUGAUGAAUACGGAUACUUAAAUAAGUAUCCAAGCUUCCUGUCUUUCUUAUUUUCCUGUCAUGUGUUCAUUAAACUUCUCAGGCAAAAACUUUGCCUUGUGACGGUUAUGGGGGAGUUCAAUGCUAUCCAAGAAGAGAUUCCUGGAUUCAGAGAUUUGCAGACCAAGAGAGGAUAAUAAUAGUGUCCAAGGUGUACUGAUGGGUCAAGCAGAAUCCUUCCACUAUUUUAUGCUCAGAGGAAUUAUUGAACUAGACACUAAUGUUUUCCCAUUUCAGAUGAUGUCUGAGGCUCAGAAUGGUUAAGUGAGUUGCCAGGAUCAUCACAGCUGGUAAAUGAUGAAGAUGAGCAUGGAGCUGAGACUCUAACCCAAAACCUGAGCCCUGAGCACAGUGUUACCCUGGUUGUUACCCAAGUAACAGUAGUGCAAGAGUGCUAACAGCAAAAAAGAAGCAGAAACUAAGAGUUGCAUGGUGUCAGACAAUGGGGAUGAGGACCACAGAUGUUUCAUGAAAACAAUUUUUUUUUUUUUUUUUGGUUUUUUGAGACAGGGUCUCACUAUGUAGUUGAGACUGACCUGGAACUCACUAUGUAGCCCAGGGUGUUCUCAAACUCACAGCGAUCCUCCUGCCUCAGCCUCCCGAGUGCUGGGAUUACAAGCAUGAGCCACCACACCUGGCUCCUCCUGAAAACAUUUUGUCUGGGAAGUAGUGAGUUCCAAGGCUUUGAAGGUACUCAAGUAGAAUGAAGUGUCCUUGAGGAGAUCCUUCCAGCCCUGAGAAUGACGACUUUAGCAAGUGGCCUACAAACUGGGCCCAGAACAAACGCUUCUUGAUGAGGGAGAAGAUGUAAGGGUUGAAAAAAAAAAGCCAGGGACCAAAUCCCCAGAGCUAGAAAACACAACAACAGGAGCCUCUCGCUUGGGCUGAAUCCUCAUAAGCCACAAAGCUCACAACAAACUUGAGUCAGGAAUUUGCUGCACAACGAUGUCGUGAUCAACAACGGACCAUGUAUAUACAGUAGUUCCAUUACAUUGUAAUGGAGCUGAAAAGUCCCAUUGCCUAGUACUUUUACUGUACCUUGUCCAUAUUUAGAUAUAUUUAGAUACACAAACACUGUUGUGCUAUAUGACUGCUUGCGGUAUUCAGUAAAACAGCAUGCUGUACAGCUAGCUAAUAGACUAGAAGCGAUAGUCUAUACCACCAAGCCUGAGUGUCGAUAUCUACACCAUCUAAGUUAGUGUAAGUGUCCACUAUGAUGUUUACACAACGACUAAAUCUCUCAAUGACAUAUUUCUUAGAACACACGCCAUUGUUAAGAGAUGUAAAACCGUAUACAAUCAGAGCUGCUGCUCGACAGUUGAAAUGUGAUCCUUUAAGACAGCGGUUCUCACACUAUGCCUCCAAAUUUAUUUCAUAAGAUUUCACAACUUGGACAUGGAAGCUGCACAGGUAAAAUUAAAUCACUGCUGUUAAUACCAGCUUUACAUGAGCAUCCUAAAGGCAUCUCAACUUCAGUGGAUUUCAAUGUAAGUUUUUUCUUAAAUGUUCCUUAAGGCUUUAGCACUAUUCCUAUAGUCUUCCAGUGAACACAGAUACAAUAAAACAAGUAAAUGAGGGUAGCUGACAAAUAUUCGAAGAAAAACAUAGAAAUAAACAAUUAGACUUGGUAUAACAGCUUGUUGGGGUUUUUUUUUCAGGCAGCUGGUGGUAAUGUUAAAUUGCAUACAUAUAUUAGAGAGUCAUACUUUCUACCCAUAAAAUUGUUCUUAGAUCAUUUAAUAGAAAUGAGCACCUCAAUAUUUCAUGCUAUUUUCGAAAGAGCACCACAGAUUUGGGUGCCCCACUUGCCUUCCUAAUACAAUGUGAUAAUUGUACAAUUAUUUAACUAUGUGGUAGAUAAAAAUGUAGCGAUUCCAUAUGCAUUGUUGUUAGGCUGGUGAAGGGUGCUUUGAAAUGCUGGUGGGAAACGGUUCAAUGUAGGAAUAUAAAAGACAAGAAAGGAUCCCAAGCCUUGACUCCCAUUAGCAGUGCUUCUCCACUCCAGUGAGGACAUAUCAGAAUCAUUCUGGCUUUUCUAACCCGCACCCCCUCAGGGAAUAAACUACCAGGCUCAAUCCUAGUCUGUGGCCUGUAAGAAAUUCUGAGGCCAUACAAGGAAGAAAGUAGGUACCAUUUGAAAAGGCCUGACAGGUGAUUUCCACUCAUUCAUCUGCUUAGGAACAACUGUCUGAACCCCAAUGAACAGGGCCUUUAAUGAUACUUCCAUGACAAUCUCAAUCUUCAUUUUACAAGCAAGAC